GAGGCAGCAGUAGGGAAUCUUCCGCAAUGGACGAAAGUCUGACGGAGCAACGCCGCGUGAGUGAUGAAGGCCUUCGGGUCGUAAAACUCUGUUGUUAGGGAAGAACAAGUAUCGGAGUAACUGCCGGUACCUUGACGGUACCUAACCAGAAAGCCACGGCUAACUACGUGCCAGCAGCCGCGGUAAU
This 187-nucleotide ribosomal RNA is filed under the name uncultured Bacilli bacterium. RNAcentral's name for it is "partial 16S ribosomal RNA". It matches the Rfam family "Bacterial small subunit ribosomal RNA", at positions 345 to 524 of the family's 1533-position model. The record is from RNAcentral. Lineage: Bacteria; Bacillati; Bacillota; Bacilli.